Molecule: long non-coding RNA, 804 nt
Organism: Mastomys coucha (southern multimammate mouse)
Lineage: Eukaryota; Metazoa; Chordata; Mammalia; Rodentia; Muridae
Exons: 2
Source: RefSeq, a predicted model, not a curated record
GCCCUCUUUCUUCCUUUUCCUCCUCCUUUCCUCUCCCUCCCUCUUUUGCUUCCUCCCCCUAUCCCAAUAGCAUUUCACGCUUCUAUUGCUCAUGCGCUCUGACCCAGGCAUGGAUUCUUUUCUUUCCUGUAACUCCCCACCACCCUCCUCCUUCUAGAAUGCUGAGCUUUGCCACCCUGCUCCUGGAAGUGAGCGAGCAAGGUUAGGUUAUGCUCAUACUCAGGACAACUCCUGGAGGAGUGGAGCUGAGUCCUAGGCACAGUUGAGUACUCAGGUGCCUCAAGGUACUUGGAAAGCUUGUCUUUCAGCAUGAAGGGCACGGUCCAAAUCAAGGCAGAAAGGUAGGCUGCAGGCUGCCUGGAUCAGAGAAACCCCUAAGGUAGCGAGCCUAGGAUCCACGUUUAUUCUUUCUCUGAGCUCUUCUCCCUCCUCUUUCUCUCUUCUUUGCUCUCAUUUCCCCUAAGCCUACCCUGUAUGUCUGCCGCACCUUGGUCUUCUCUACUCUCUGCCAAAUAGCCUUGUCUCUCCUUCCUCUUGAUGACUGGCAGUCCUAGAAGUAGAAUCCCAGCCUGACUACACAGACUGGACCAGAAGAGGUCAUGACAAGGAAUUGUUCCACACUCACUUCAGACUCCCUGAAAGGAUCAACUGCUUCCUGAGCCUAGGGCCCUGACCCUGUCCUUGUGCUAAAAAAUGCCAAAGGAAGUUCCUGGACCUUCUGUUUGACAUAGAACAUGCCGCCAAGACCCAGAAACCUUUGAGUUUUUAAAGAGAGUUCUAAAACUUGAGAAGAAACACCAUCAU